RNAcentral lists this ribosomal RNA (421 nucleotides) under uncultured bacterium. Its description in RNAcentral is "bacterial SSU rRNA". It matches the Rfam family "Bacterial small subunit ribosomal RNA", at positions 357 to 770 of the family's 1533-position model. The record is from RNAcentral.
GGGAAUAUUGGACAAUGGGGGCAACCCUGAUCCAGCCAUGCCGCGUGUGUGAAGAAGGCUUUCGGGUUGUAAAGCACUUUCAGUGAGGAGGAAGGCUUUCAGAUUAAUACUCUGGAGGAUUGACGUUACUCCCAGAAGAAGCACCGGCUCACUCCGUGCCAGCAGCCGCGGUAAUACGGAGGGUGCAAGCGUUAACCGGAAUUACUGGGCGUAAAGCGCGCGUAGGUGGUUUGAUAAGCGAGAUGUGAAAGCCCCGGGCUUAACCUGGGAACGGCAUUUCGAACUGUCAGGCUAGAGUGUGGUAGAGGGUAGUGGAAUUUCCUGUGUAGCGGUGAAAUGCGUAGAUAUAGGAAGGAACACCAGUGGCGAAGGCGGCUACCUGGACCAACACUGACACUGAGGUGCGAAAGCGUGGGGAGCA